RNAcentral lists this ribosomal RNA (466 nucleotides) under uncultured bacterium. RNAcentral's name for it is "partial 16S ribosomal RNA". It matches the Rfam family "Bacterial small subunit ribosomal RNA", at positions 28 to 507 of the family's 1533-position model. The record is from RNAcentral.
GAUGAACGCUGGCGGCGUGCUUAACACAUGCAAGUCGAACGGUGAAGCCAAGCUUGCUUGGUGGUUCAGUGGCGAACGGGUGAGUAACACGUGAGCAACCUGCCCUGGACUCUGGGAUAAGCGCUGGAAACGGCGUCUAAUACUGGAUAUGAGCCUCUUCCGCAUGGUGGGGGUUGGAAAGAUUUUUUGGUCUGGGAUGGGCUCGCGGCCUAUCAGCUUGUUGGUGAGGUAAUGGCUCACCAAGGCGUCGACGGGUAGCCGGCCUGGGAGGGUGACCGGCCACACUGGGACUGAGGCACGGCGCAGACUCCUACGGGAGGCAACAGUGGGAAAUAUUGCACAAUGAGCGAAAGCCUGAUGCAGCAGCGCCGCGUGUGGGAUGACGGCCUUCGGGUUGUAAACCUCUUUUAGCAGGGAAGAAGCGAUAGUGACGGUACCUGCAGAAAAAGCGCCGGCUAACUACGUG